RNAcentral lists this ribosomal RNA (717 nucleotides) under uncultured bacterium. RNAcentral's name for it is "bacterial SSU rRNA". It matches the Rfam family "Bacterial small subunit ribosomal RNA", at positions 102 to 807 of the family's 1533-position model. The record is from RNAcentral.
ACUGGUGAGUAACGCGUGGACGACGCGCCCACCCGACGGGGACAGCCGGUAGAAAUACCGGAUAAUACCGGAUGAUCUCUUUUGGAACAAAGGCGAAAGAGGAAAGCGGCUCCGGCCGCGCGGGUGGAGCGGUCCGCGUCCUAUCAGCUAGUCGGCGGGGUGAAGGCCCGCCGAGGCGACGACGGGUAUCCGGCCUGAGAGGGUGGACGGACACAUUGGGACUGAGAUACGGCCCAGACUCCUACGGGAGGCAGCAGCUAAGAAUAUUCCGCAAUGGGGGGAACCCCGACGGAGCGACGCCGCGUGGACGACGAAGGCCGGAAGGUUGUAAAGUCCUUUUUUCCGCGAGGAAUAAGGCCGGGAGGGAAUGCCCGGCCGGUGACGGUAGCGGAGGAACAAGCACCGGCUAAUUACGUGCCAGCAGCCGCGGUAACACGUAAGGUGCGAGCGUUGUUCGGAAUCAUUGGGCGUAAAGGGCAUGCAGGCGGCCGUGCAAGCCCGGCGUGAAAUGGCGGGGCCCAACCCCGUCACUGCGCUGGGAACUGCAUGGCUAGGGUCGCCGAGGGGCAGCCGGAAUUCCAGGUGUAGGGGUGAAAUCUGUAGAUAUCUGGAAGAACACCGAUGGCGAAGGCAGGCUGCCAGCGGACGACCGACGCUGAGGUGCGAAGGCGCGGGGAGCGAACAGGAUUAGAUACCCUGGUAGUCCGCGCAGUCAAC